RNAcentral lists this ribosomal RNA (383 nucleotides) under Physarum rubiginosum. RNAcentral describes it as "SSU rRNA". It matches the Rfam family "Eukaryotic small subunit ribosomal RNA", at positions 76 to 405 of the family's 1831-position model. The record is from RNAcentral. Lineage: Eukaryota; Evosea; Eumycetozoa; Physariida; Physaraceae.
UCUCUCUGAAUCUGCGAACGGCUCCGCAAACCAGUUGUAAACUAUAGCAAGCAAGCCUCGGCGCCGGCGCAAGCUGGUGCUGGGGUAAUAGGGAUAACCCUGGUAAUUCUGAGGCUAAUACAAGAACGUAACCCCUGGUCGACCGGGCAACUGGAAGGCUGGGGGACGUGCAACAUUGCGCAAACAGAUCCAAGGAAACGAUGCACGUUCAGAUCACCAUCCAAACAGUCUUGGGCCCGACUCUCACGGGUGAGGUCCUCGUCUGGGUGACUCUUGCGAUGUGCUUCUGACCUAUCAACUAGAUGGCAGCGUAACGGACAUGCUAUGGUGACAACGGGUACAGAGGAUAAGGGUUCGAUCCUGGAGAGUGGGCCUGAGAGAUU